CGGAGAGCCCAACCUCUGACUGAGUACUUGUUUACGCAGUCUGACCACCUGUUGAAGGGCUAUUUGAUGACGAUAUGAACUCCUCUGGGAGAUGAGGACACACCCACAUCUGUUCCAUACUGCAGCCAUUGAUGGUGUUACAGCUCUGAGGCAGCUUUGGGCCAUCAGACGCACACACUGGAAAACCAGCACCUGGACUUCAUGCAGGAGAGACGGCCUCAGUGAUUUAGAAUUAAUCAGCAGCUGUGGAGAGAUGCAUUUGAAUACCUUCUGGUUCCACUUUUCCUAACCUGGAAGCUGAGGAUGGCUGAUUUCUGACAGGGACACACACCUCAGCGCUUAUCAUGGGUGUUACAUCCUCUGUGCCGCGAUUCCAGAGAAAACGAGAGAGCAACGACCACUCAUUAAGACCAGCCAGAAAUCUGUCCCUUUCUGGCAGCUGUGGAAACUUCCAAUAAGAAAGUUUGCAUUCUUAGAACAAUGCUGGGUCAUGUGUGAUGUGUCAUCAUAUGAGGAUAUUACAUUUUGCCUUAAUUCUGCUCAAUUAAGUGUUUUGAUCGUUGAUCCAGUAUGGCAGCUUUGUAUUGUGCUGCAAGUUAAAACCUAUUGUCCUCAUGAGCACAGCAUCUAACAACUCUCCUUAAAAGAAAACGAAUGACUUUAACUGGACACAAUGGUUUCCAGUGGGAGAUACAUUCAUCACUCAUCCGUGACACUGGAGAAGUCACCUGGAUGAGUGAUAAAACAAUUUCCCAUGGAAAAUCCAGAGGAACUAAACUUUGUUGUUUCUCUGGGCUCAAUUUCAGCUCUAGGAGCAUCUCUCAGAAGAAAACAUUUUGCCAAUAAUCAGAUAAAAAGAUUGUUGAACCAGGUGGUAUUCUCUGGAGUUUAAGACCAAA
Long non-coding RNA from Oreochromis niloticus (Nile tilapia), 899 nucleotides. RefSeq lists it as uncharacterized. The transcript has 3 exons. NCBI's taxonomy places the organism in Eukaryota, Metazoa, Chordata, Actinopteri, Cichliformes, Cichlidae. The record is from RefSeq and is a predicted model, not a curated record.